This 501-nucleotide ribosomal RNA is filed under the name uncultured bacterium. RNAcentral describes it as "partial 16S ribosomal RNA". It matches the Rfam family "Bacterial small subunit ribosomal RNA", at positions 30 to 523 of the family's 1533-position model. The record is from RNAcentral.
AUUGAACGCUGGCGGCAGGCUUAACACAUGCAAGUCGAGCGGGGGAAGGUAGCUUGCUACCGGACCUAGCGGCGGACGGGUGAGUAAUGCUUAGGAAUCUGCCUAUUAGUGGGGGACAACAUCUCGAAAGGGAUGCUAAUACCGCAUACGUCCUACGGGAGAAAGCAGGGGAUCUUCGGACCUUGCGCUAAUAGAUGAGCCUAAGUCGGAUUAGCUAGUUGGUGGGGUAAAGGCCUACCAAGGCGACGAUCUGUAGCGGGUCUGAGAGGAUGAUCCGCCACACUGGGACUGAGACACAGCCCAGACUCCUACGGGAGGCAGCAGUGGGGAAUAUUGGAAAAUGGGGGGAACCCUGAUCCAGCCAUGCCGCGUGUGUGAAGAAGGCCUUAUGGUUGUAAAGCACUUUAAGCGAGGAGGAGGCUCUUUUGGUUAAUACCCAAGAUGAGUGGACGUUACUCGCAGAAUGAGCACCGGCUAACUCUGUGCCAGCCGCCGCAGUAA